GAGGUGGCAAGCGUUGUUCGGAAUUACUGGGCGUAAAGGGCGCGUAGGCGGCCCACUAAGUCAGACGUGAAAUCCCCCGGCUUAACCUGGGAACUGCGUCUGAUACUGGGGGGCUAGAGUUCGGGAGAGGAGAGUGGAAUUCCCAGUGUAGAGGUGAAAUUCGUAGAUAUUGGGAAGAACACCGGUGGCGAAGGCGGCUCUCUGGACCGAUACUGACGCUGAGGCGCGAAAGCGUGGGGAGCAAACAGGA
Molecule: ribosomal RNA, 250 nt
Filed under: uncultured bacterium
Lineage: Bacteria
Description: partial 16S ribosomal RNA
Rfam family: Bacterial small subunit ribosomal RNA
Source: RNAcentral